This is a long non-coding RNA of Homo sapiens (human), 1565 nucleotides long. Ensembl annotates it as prostate cancer associated transcript 1. Its record names the gene PCAT1. Lineage: Eukaryota; Metazoa; Chordata; Mammalia; Primates; Hominidae. The record is from Ensembl.
GCCGAGUAGCUGAGAUUACAGGCAUGCACCACCACAUCUGGCUACUUUUUUUUAUUUUUGUAUUUUUAGUGGAGACGGGGUUUCACCGUGUUGGCCAGUCUGACCUGGAACUCCUGACUUCAGGUGAUCUGCCCACCUCAUCCUCCCAAAGUGCUGGGAUUACAGGUGUGAGCCCUUGUGCUCAGUCAGAUUUAGCAUUUUAAACGAGUUCCCAGCUGAUGCUGAUGCUGCUGGAUCAAGGACCACGCUCUGAGAAGCAAGGGUUUAUGGGGCUUUCUUGGACUGCACUCUGGCCAAACGCAGUGACUCCAGUAAGGCGUGGCCUUUGCAACCACAGGAAGAGCAGAAGUCUGCUGUGGAGCCGCCUGCAUCCAAGUCCAGCUCUGCUGCUUGAUGGGAAUGGGCCCUUGGGACAGAUUCUUCUCUUGGAAUCUGAGUGUUCUCAGAAGAGGCAGAGGAUGUUGACACAAACUUACAGACUGGGACUCCAAGGAUCAGCCAGAUGAAAUGCUAUGUGCAGAGUCUUCAUUUCCCAGCUCAGUGGUGGACAGCAGAGGACUCUAAGGCACUCCUUGAACAGACCCCUAGUCUGAACUUGAGGAAGAGAGAGACUUCCCUUCUAAAGACGUCUGGCCUUCCAGCGGGAGAUCCAGCCACCUCUUGGGAUGCACACGUUUCUCUUCAACUGCGUGAUGUGAACUGCGUCACAUGUGAAUUAUCAACAGAAACUACCUAGAGAAACCUGUAACUUCAGAUCUUCUGAUUAAUUGAUUUUCUUUGGGUGCUGCUUGACAGUAACAGAAUGGUCCAUGGGGACAGUUUUUCAGUGAAUGUUUUCAACAAUGAUAGGAACACAGAGCUAAGCAGAGUGUCAAGAGACAUUUAGUGCAGUAGAGACAUCUCAUCUGUUUUUCUGCAGAACUUGCAUAAAAUUAGCAUCUGAUUAUUAUCACCUCAGAAUGAACCGGAACCCGUAAAGAUGUCUUUGAUCGUAAAAGUGGGGAGGAGACCCUGAUGGAAGAAGAGAAGACUUCAGCCUCACAAUAGAAAAGACUGUGUUUAUGCACCUAAAUCUAACUUAGACACCAUCUAAUUCAAGAAACAGGCACAUUUAGGGAAAUAAAGAAAAGAGGCAGAAAGAGAUGAAGCACCUUGGCUGAAUCAGAGAAAUUAGGGGUUAAUGUUCCAGACUGAUGACUUGAAGGAGGGUGUGCAUUUUCAUGCAAGGGACCAUUCUGUAGAAGAAGCAGCACAUUCACCCUUAAAUGAGCAAAGAGAAUCCCAAUCACUCUCCCUCUCACCCUCCCCUUUUCCUUCAUUUCUCUAGCUCUUUAUUUCCAAGAAGGCCAGCCCUUCUCUUCAGCCACAUGGUAUUUGGACAGCCUAGGCUCAAUCCCUGCAGGGAAAGCUCAAUCAGCCAGCUGAGCCAGUCACUGAACAACCAAGUCUGGUAAGAACAGGGGUGAAGUAUUUAAGAAGCCUAUCGUGGCUGGAGGGCUAAAGCCUUGUUCUCAAAUCAGCUUUAUAGGUAAUAAAACUGACAUUAAAGCAAAAACAAAUAAGAG